This is an RNA transcript of Triplophysa rosa, 4892 nucleotides long. It is a transcript of the gene named potassium channel subfamily K member 10-like, with no coding region annotated. The record is from RefSeq and is a predicted model, not a curated record. The transcript has 4 exons. Lineage: Eukaryota; Metazoa; Chordata; Actinopteri; Cypriniformes; Nemacheilidae.
UCGGUGCUUUGCUGCAUUCCCCGCCAGCUGUCUAAUAUUAUGCGGCGUGUCUGUCCACAUGCUAUCGGUGCCUGCAUCAAAAAACCUUGACAGCUCAGUUAGAUACCAGACUGCGUAAAUCGACUUAUGCUCAUAGCUAAACUUGGCAUGUCACAAAAUCAAUCUUGGCGCAACAGUGCGGCAUACGCAGGGAAGACAGGAGGAGAGCAAAGCUAUAGCUGGAUUCCUGUCGGCGGUGUCUCCAUAAUGUGGCGGUAUAAAGAGAUUUCGAGAUGCAGUCUGUUCGUAAAGCGUUCCCCUAACAGUUCGUGACCCACUGCUGCACCUUCACUGUUUACCUCUCACAGAGCGCGUCUGACGCGUGGAAAAGGGUGCAAUUGUCAAAAGGCGGAAUGAUCUGGACUCUCAAGUACCACGAAAAGGCAGAAUCAUGCUAGUCUUGUAUCAACUCCAUUCUUCUACUCGUAAAUCUCAAAACCAACCAGCCUAAAGAUGACGUUUUCAUGUUUGCGCUCAUCUAGGAUACAUCCCUAUCUCGUUUAAAGAUAAUGCAUCAAGGGACAUCUGCUACAUUUAACAGAAACAUUGGAAUAUUUCUGUACUUCUUAAGUGUUUAUUUCAUUAAUUGAAUUGCAGCUCAAAAUGAAAUUUCCAACGGAAAACCCAAGAAAACCAGGGAACUGGAACCCCGCACCAGUGUCAGUUCAGACCAAGCUGGUGCCACCAAAGAAGGUUCAGCCAGGGAUGUUGCAGUCAAGCCUGGUGCAGGCCAGUGUGGCCACCAUGCAGAACCCAAUGGGGUGCCCAUUACCUCGCCUUUCUGUCUCACGUCCCUCGAGUGUGGUGGCCAGUAUGGAAGCCGUUGUAGAUGGCUCAGCCCUGCUCACAGUCAUGAAGUGGAAGACCGUUCUAGCUGUGUUUGUGGUGGUGGUUGUAUAUCUGGUAGCCGGUGGUCUGGUUUUCAGAGCAUUGGAACAACCCUUCGAGAGCAACCAAAAAGAUGCCAUCACCUUUAAGAAAGCUGCCUUCCUGCAGAAACAUCCCUGCGUGACCCCCAAUGAGCUGGAAGAGCUCAUCAAGUGCCCAUGUUUGGAUGGUUUGCCCGUGUAUUGGAUUUAGUCUUCGGAUUACCCUUUCAACAAUGACUGCAUUUGGAUCCUCACCCUUGUCUCUCUGUGCACACUCUGUUGAUGCGGUAAAUGCUGGAGUGAGUCCUAUUGGAGAUACAUCAUACAACUCCAGUCACUGGGAUCUAGGAAGUUCUUUCUUUUUUGCUGGAACUGUGAUCACAACAAUAGGUAAAAUAUUUCAUGUAAAUUUCCCUGUUUAUCACUUAACAAAUGAUUCAUACAAGCCACAUUCAUAUUUUUAAACUCAAGCCAAAUGAAAUGCAUUUUCUUUGUCAUAAACUUAUGGUCACACUUCCUGUCAGUUCACCAGACCACAUGACCAACAAUGAAAUGUGAUAUUGAUACCUUUUUAUAUUUAUAUGCUGUGUCUGAAAUUGGUCCUGCUUUCGGCUGUCAACAAAUGCUUAGUAAUGCUUUCUAGGCAAUUGUUUGUUUUUGUUGGGCACAUCCUUGCUACAGUUUGAAGUAUUGAAGAGAUAAAAUAAAUUGUUGGAAAAUAAAUAAUGCUGUGAGUUCUGUAAUAUUAUAAAACACAUCAAAUGUAUGUGCAUUCUCUAAAAAGACAAAGUCAAUCAUUCCAAAAUGUUUUCCUUUUCACCUUUUUUGCGGGGCAUUUCUUAGAAGGACUGAUGUAAGUCACUUAAAGGGAUAUUUCACCCAAAAAUCAAAAUUCUGCCAUCAUUUACUCACAUUCGAGUUGUUCCAAAUCUGUAGAAAUGUCUUUGUUCUGAUGAACACAGAGAAAGAAAUGUGGAAGAAUGCUUAUAACCAGACAGAUUUUGCCCCCCAUUGACUACCACAGUAGAAACAAAUAUAUGUUAUAAAAAAUUGCCCCAGAACUGUUUGCUGUCCUUCAUUCUUCAAAAAGUGAAAAAUCCUGCGUUAUGCAUUUCUUCCCCAUAGAAGUCCAUUAUAAGGAAACAGCUUAACGUACCAAAACAACAACCAUGGAAAACCAAAAUAAAUGCAUUUGUUUAUCACUGAAAUCAAACAUAAACAUGAUAACAGAAAAGUUUUAUGUUCUCAGUUUGUCGCUGCCUUGAGCCAUGUUAUGUGGUUUCUUUAUAAUGAACUUUAAUGAGUAACAAGCUUAACGUGAGACUAUUCUUUUUCAUGGAAUAAAUGCUUUUAACAAUAGCUAGUGUUUAUUACAAUUAAGGUUUAAUAGAAAUUAGUUUUUAAGUGGUUGUUGUUUCGGUAGGUUAAGCUGUUUCAUUAAUCAUUAUAAUGGACUUUUAUGGGCGAUAUUUAUCACUUAAUCAGGACUCGAUGUGUGCAGCACCAUGGCAACGUUCUUGAGCAGUAAAUUUGAGCUCACCUGGUCAUUGUUUAGAUGCGUUAAACCUCGUUAAGCGUUUUAGAAUGUAAUCCGGCUCGGCUCAUCCCAACCGCAGAUUCAGGUUUACAAACCACUUUUAUCUCCGUUUCUAAGUCAAUACUCGCAUUUUCCCCCUUUAUGAACAUCAACUUCUGCUACACAAUAAAAACACCUUUCAUGGUUUGAUCAACGCAAAACGCAGGUAUUUUGAGUUUGUUAUAGGGAGAAAAUCACUUCCUGCCCUCCAUCGGCACUUUGCGCAGUGCCGUGAUGUCAUGUGUAAACAACCUCUUCAGGUUAGUAGCUAGAUGCUGAUGGGACUUUUAAUGCCAUUUCUUAUUGGCUAAGCUAUCCAACAGGCAACAGAGAAGGGCAAACAUUUAGUUUAGUUUUACAUUUCACUUUUGAAAAUGCUCUUGGUAGACACAUUAUUGUCAGGAUUUGACAAGGGAGAGAACCCAAAUGCAGGCAGGCAGAGGUGAAGGGGUUAACAGAGAAUUUAAUUAAACAAUAAACACAAAACAGGAACCCACGAGGGCGUAAAGCAAAAACACAGGUAAACAAAAACGAAGACUGACUAAACACUAGACUAACCAAACACUAGACAAAAACUAAACUGAACACUUACUAGACAGAACGGAGGAAUUCACAAAAGACACUGGCAUGGGAAGCAGGAAGGCACAGAACAUGGAACGCAGCAAGACACCAUAUACAAUACACGAGCACAGGACAAAGAAACAUGAGGGCAUUAAAUAGGGAAAGACAAACGAGGGAUAAUGACACAGGGCAGGUGGGAAAAAUCAGACACGGCAGGGAAGCAAUACAUGAAACGAGAGGGGCGGGGCCAAUGACAAGACACGAGAAAGCACAUGAGAUGUCAAAACAUAAACAACUCAUGGCUUUCUCACAUAAAACCUAAGGGCUCUACCCCAAUCCUGCCACACGACUAGAAAUUCAGAAACAAGAGGGCAGGACCGUUACACAUUAUGUUCAAUGGGGACCUUAUGAGUUGUUUUCUCAUUAUACACAGUAAACCUUUGCUACUUAUAAAGUAGCUUAUAAUUAAUCAUUUGGUGAGCUGGGUUUUUAGUGGUAGCAAAACCAUUCUCCCAGACAGUGUCCCAAUCAAUCAUUGUGUGAAGUUCUCUCUCCUAGAAGCCCUCAAUCGGAAUAUUUGAAUACCAUAGUACCACAAGUGAAUCAUGAACUAUACUCACAAUUUCUCUAGAAGCCAUACUACAAUCUAUCCAUUUAAUCAUAUGAUGAGGAAGAUAAUGUAACCAACCAUGGUACAUCCUAAACUUUCAACACAGAUCUCAAUCUUAAAUAAAAGAAAAAGGAAAAUCCCGGGAGAGAGAAUUAAUCUUUUAGAGUCUGAAAGGACUUGAGCCCAUCACAAUUGCAUGAUGUUUUAAAGUGUAAAUAUCAAAUUCAACCCAGCAUUUGGAUACAAAUUAUUUAUUACUAGUACAGAGAUUAUUAUUAUGCCAAAUGGGGGUAGAGUCACUAUAAGAGUCUGACGCUCCCAUAAUCUUUUCUGCUGCUUUCUAGGCUUCAAUAGAAUGGCAUAUAAUUGGACCGACCUUAACCAGGGGUCUCAUUUAUAAAACUGUGCGUAGGAUCUAAAAGUGUACGUGCGCCCGAAAGCCAGAAAAUAGCGUACGACAAAAAAUAUUCAGACUUAUAAAACCGUGCGUACGCACACCUGUAAGCAAUAUUCGCUUUAUAAAUCACAGAUCACCUGCAAGUGUGCGUACGUGAAUCAGGUUCAUAUCCAGCCCUGUACACGCCCAUUUUUACCCAUAAAUAGUCAAUGCAAAGCACCUCAUGAAUGCUGAUUUGUGUAUUAAUAAACCUGGCAUACAAUCCGCUUGUUAAGCCUGACAUCACGCACCAUAAUGGACGUAUACCGUUUCUGGGUCAAACCGCUAUCAGAUGCCAUAGGAAAAUAACAAAAAAAAAAUGUAAAAGUGCCGAAAACCCCCGAUCCCAUCCUUUAUCUCAGCAACGAAAUUACAAAUGGCCGAACAUUAGAUUCACUACGAUUUACAAAUUGAUAAUUGUUAUAAUUAUUAAUAAUUAUUAUUAUAAUUAGAUUAAAGCCCAAGAAGGUCUCUGCAACAUUUAUAUGUUUACAGCAUUUAGACUGAUCAUUAACACCUCAUUAAAAUCACAUCAUUAAUUACUGGUGUCCUUCACCUGAGAUCAAAUUCGAAGACAUAAUUUUAAAGAUGAAUGUUUCUUCAUUCCGGUUUUGUUAUGAACUAGUUAGGACUGAUAAUGAGAACAUAAAGAGAAACGAUUGUGCGAGAGCUUAAUGUGCUGUAUUUCCAGACUUUGACAUUUGAUGAUUAUGCACAGUAUUUAAGGAAAAUAUAUUUAGUAUUUAUUUACACUGUGUUCUGCAAUUAUCGUAUUUGAUGCUGUCCGUAUUCAGUCAGAUC